UACGUAGGGUGCAAGCGUUGUCCGGAAUUAUUGGGCGUAAAGAGCUCGUAGGCGGUCUGUCGCGUCGGAUGUGAAAAUCCAGGGCUUAACCCUGGGCCUGCAUUCGAUACGGGCAGACUAGAGUUCGGUAGGGGAGACUGGAAUUCCUGGUGUAGCGGUGGAAUGCGCAGAUAUCAGGAGGAACACCGAUGGCGAAGGCAGCCCCCUGGGCUAACACUGACGCUCAGGCACGAAAGCGUGGGGAGCAAACAGG
RNAcentral lists this ribosomal RNA (253 nucleotides) under uncultured bacterium. RNAcentral's name for it is "partial 16S ribosomal RNA". It matches the Rfam family "Bacterial small subunit ribosomal RNA", at positions 524 to 776 of the family's 1533-position model. The record is from RNAcentral.